RNAcentral lists this long non-coding RNA (251 nucleotides) under Elaeis guineensis (African oil palm). Its description in RNAcentral is "long non-coding RNA (EGUI_LNC021927)". The record is from RNAcentral. Lineage: Eukaryota; Viridiplantae; Streptophyta; Magnoliopsida; Arecales; Arecaceae.
AUGCAUUUGCUUGCUCCAAUCAUUUCGAGGCUCAAACUCAUUUGGCCAGAAAUUUAGCAGUGUAAACAACCGCAGCCAAACUAAAAGUAUAAUGGCACAAAGCAAAAAUAUUUUAGAGUAGUAUGUAGGGCCAUGUGGUAGAACCCCUUUCAUAAAAUUUUCAGUGCAAUCCAUCCAACCAAACUUUCUAUCAUUGGAUAAGCCUUGUUACCAUCUGUUGGGUAGAUAUCUGGCUAGGACACUACCUCCCA